UACAGGGGGGGCAAGCGUUGUUCGGAAUUACUGGGCGUAAAGCGUGCGCAGGCGGUUUUGUAAGCCCGAUGUGAAAUCCCCGGGCUUAACCUGGGAAUGGCAUUUGGGACUGCAAGGCUAGAGUGUGGCAGAGGAGACUGGAAUUCCUGGUGUAGCAGUGAAAUGCGUAGAUAUCAGGAGGAAUACCGAUGGCGAAGGCAGGUCUCUGGGCUAACACUGACGCUCAUGCACGAAAGCGUGGGGAGCAAACAGG
This 253-nucleotide ribosomal RNA is filed under the name uncultured bacterium. RNAcentral describes it as "partial 16S ribosomal RNA". It matches the Rfam family "Bacterial small subunit ribosomal RNA", at positions 524 to 776 of the family's 1533-position model. The record is from RNAcentral.